GAAAUGUGAGCUUAUGAAACGUGACUGGUGUCCAGACACGCAACUUUCACAUUGUGUGAGCAUUGGACCUGUAAAUUACAUACAAGCAUAGAGUACGGCGAAAACAGUUUUGAAGUGACUGGGAGAGACACUAUUCUCAUCUUAUGUUUGGACCAGGAACAAAGUGCUGAUUUAGUGGGCUUUCAGCUGACAGGUGAGUUCACAGUUGUAUUACAGUCUUGCACACACCAACUGUAAUGGAUACAGGAGUUCUGGUUUCAGGCUUUGGACUCAAACCUAUUUUGCCCACUGUUCAUCCCUUCUCCUAAAAGAAACUGUAGCAGAACACCAGCCUUUCCUUCCUGCACUACUCGGCUAGUUCCAAGGAUCUUCCAGAGAGAGUUUCCACAGAUGUUUCCCCACAAAUUUUAGCCAGACACUUGAUAAAGUGAGGAACAACAAUGAAUACCUUGUUUAGUCUCACGUUGGGUUUUUAUCCAUUUCUUUGUGUGGUAAACAGAAAACUGCCAAUAGCAGUAUGGACGUGAAAUUGCAACCAGUCACACUACAAAGCUUAAUUACAAACCAUGUGAAUGGAGCACUGUGAUUACAAGGAAGGAUGGGGACAGAUAAUAACAAGGACUGUAGACCACAUGGUAGACUUCCCGGGGUGGCUGGUCUGGAAGUGUCUCUGGAGCAUUGGUACAAGCCCCAAUGAAAAAACAAGAAGACUGAGAGGAGGGGGAAAUACAUUAAAUUUAAUUAUAACUACACUAUAUAGAAAAUACCCACCAUUUUAAACCAGAUGAUAAGCAAUUGAAAGGUAGGGAAUUGUCCCCACCCUCCCCUCCAAAUGGCAGACUAACUGGGCACAAGACCUCAAAUUGGUCUGUGUUCUAGUUAGUCGGAAAGCUAGCCACAAAUGGUUCAUCCACUUUCCCACUCCUUAGAAAGCUUGGAGGUGAUAAAGGUAUACCAAUUGUUUAAACAUACUGCAGUAGUGAGGAGCCUAUGUACUGUGGUUCCAGGCACCACAGACUGCCGCUGGGGAGAGAUGCCGGCUGCACCAUCUCCGUAGACCUCUGUCAGCCCAUGCUUAAAUGCCAACUGCAUCUUAACCAGUUUCCAAAGUCAUGAUGCACUGGCACCACCUACCCCC
This is a non-coding RNA of Pelobates cultripes (western spadefoot toad), 1138 nucleotides long. Lineage: Eukaryota; Metazoa; Chordata; Amphibia; Anura; Pelobatidae. The record is from the annotation of a GenBank genome assembly.